This 515-nucleotide ribosomal RNA is filed under the name uncultured bacterium. RNAcentral describes it as "bacterial SSU rRNA". It matches the Rfam family "Bacterial small subunit ribosomal RNA", at positions 34 to 507 of the family's 1533-position model. The record is from RNAcentral.
CGCUGGCGGCGUGCCUAAUACAUGCAAGUCGAACGCACUCUCGUUUAGAUUGAAGGAGCUUGCUCCUAAUUGAUAAACAUUUGAGUGAGUGGCGGACGGGUGAGUAACACGUGGGUAACCUGCCCUAAAGUGGGGGAUAAACAUUUGGAAACAGAUGCUAAUACCGCAUAAAACCUAACACCGCAUGGUGUAGGGUUGAAAGAUGGUUUCGGCUAUCACUUUAGGAUGGACCCGCGGUGCAUUAGUUAGUUGGUGAGGUAAAGGCUCACCAAGACCGUGACGCAUAGCCGACCUGAGAGGGUAAUCGGCCACACUGGGACUGAGACACGGCCCAGACUCCUACGGGAGGCAGCAGUAGGGAAUCUUCCACAAUGGACGAAAGUCUGAUGGAGCAACGCCGCGUGAGUGGAGAAGGUUUUCGGAUCGUAAAACUCUGUUGUUGGAGAAGAAUGUAUCUGAUAGUAACUGAUCAGGUAGUGACGGUAUCCAAUCAGAAAGCCACGGCUAACUACGUG